Molecule: ribosomal RNA, 447 nt
Filed under: Triticum aestivum (bread wheat)
Lineage: Eukaryota; Viridiplantae; Streptophyta; Magnoliopsida; Poales; Poaceae
Description: partial small subunit ribosomal RNA
Source: RNAcentral
AUGCUCUGCUCAUCAUCUCCAGACAGAAAAUUACUCAUCGAACUAAAUACUCAACUUGGUACAGGCAACUUAAUUUACUUGGAUUCAGGGUACAAAAUAAUCACAGAAAUGCGCAGGCAGGAUUCUAUGUUCGCCACAUCAAAUAAUCAUAACUCUAAAUCACAGUUAAAUAAUGUAUGUGUAUCAAACCAAAGAGGAAGUUCUCCUGAACAUGCCGGUGGCCUCCUCCAUCUCCUUGAGGGUGAACACCAUGGAGCAGUUGCACUUCUUCGGCGCGGGCAGCGGCAGUGGCUCCUUCACCUGCCACAGCUCGGCCGUCUUGUACACCCCUGCAGAAGAAAAAAUCAGAUAACCAAAUUCUCAUGGCAUACUUUUUUUUUCUUUUGGAAGUUUUCAUGGCAUACUUUGAAGAAUGUUGCACUGAAGAAGCAGAUGAUCAUACAGUGA